RNAcentral lists this ribosomal RNA (234 nucleotides) under uncultured bacterium. RNAcentral's name for it is "partial 16S ribosomal RNA". It matches the Rfam family "Bacterial small subunit ribosomal RNA", at positions 102 to 334 of the family's 1533-position model. The record is from RNAcentral.
ACGGGUGAGUAACACGUAAGUAAUCUACCUUCGAGUGGGAAUAACGUCCGGAAACGGACGCUAAUACCGCAUAAUGCAGCGGCACCUUAUGGUGACAGUUGUUAAAGGAGCAAUUCGCUUGAAGAGGAGCUUGCGGCAGAUUAGCUAGUUGGUAAGGUAAUGGCUUACCAAGGCUUCGAUCUGUAACCGGUCUAAGAGGACGGUCGGUCACACUGACACUGAAUAACGGGUCAG